RNAcentral lists this ribosomal RNA (161 nucleotides) under uncultured bacterium. RNAcentral describes it as "partial 16S ribosomal RNA". It matches the Rfam family "Bacterial small subunit ribosomal RNA", at positions 358 to 511 of the family's 1533-position model. The record is from RNAcentral.
GGAAUCUUCCACAAUGGGCGCAAGCCUGAUGGAGCAACACCGCGUGAGUGAAGAAGGGUUUCGGCUCGUAAAGCUCUGUUGUUAAAGAAGAACACGUAUGAGAGUAACUGUUCAUACGUUGACGGUAUUUAACCAGAAAGUCACGGCUAACUACGNGCCAG